UUUCCGUAGGUGAACCUGCGGAAGGAUCAUUACAGUAGUCACCCAGGUUGCCGCAAGGCCUCCUGGGUAACCUACCACCCUUUGUUUAUUACACUUUGUUGCUUUGGCAAGCCUGCCCUCGGGCUGCUGGCUCCGGCCGGCGAGCGCUUGCCAGAGGACCUAAACACUGUUUGUCUAUACUGUCUGAGUACUAUAUAAUAGUUAAAACUUUCAACAACGGAUCUCUUGGUUCUG
This 234-nucleotide unclassified non-coding RNA is filed under the name plant metagenome. Its description in RNAcentral is "partial contains small subunit ribosomal RNA, internal transcribed spacer 1, and 5.8S ribosomal RNA". The record is from RNAcentral.